GGAAUCCAGUCUGGUAAGACUUAGCAGGUCGCCAGUACCGAGUCCUUGAAGCGCCAACGGCUAACAAUGGUGUUUAAGCGUAGGACAGGGAACAGGAACGCCGUAAUGCGAAAGCGUGAAGCGAUUGAGCUUCGUCAGAAUUAUCGAUUGUGUGGGGUGGUCUGCUACCUCCUUGGGUCACCAAUAAGGAUUAGUCGCUAAGCGAGACUAUGAAAACACACUCUAGAGCA
This is a non-coding RNA of Eubacterium plexicaudatum ASF492, 230 nucleotides long. The record is from Rfam. Lineage: Bacteria; Bacillati; Bacillota; Clostridia; Eubacteriales; Eubacteriaceae.